GGGGGUGUAGCGCAGUUGGUAGCGCGUCUCAUUUGCAAUGACGUAUCAAGCGGCUCAGUGCCCUUGAGAAGGUCCAGGGUUCAAUUCCCUGCGUCUCCA
Kwoniella heveanensis BCC8398 is the source of this 99-nucleotide transfer RNA. It matches the Rfam family "tRNA". Rfam says of the family: Transfer RNA (tRNA) molecules are approximately 80 nucleotides in length. The record is from Rfam. NCBI's taxonomy places the organism in Eukaryota, Fungi, Basidiomycota, Tremellomycetes, Tremellales, Cryptococcaceae.